AGUCUAAGAGGUUUUUUGCUCCUUUUUAAAGCAGUGGGGGAAGAGGGUGUGGUCUCUGGCCAGGAAGCAGAUGAAACAUGUUGGUUUCAGAGACUAAAUUCAUCUCAGGGGCAAACAGCAUUCCUCAUUUGAGGCUACCAUGUACAACAGGCUCCUCUGCUCUGUUGUUCUUUUGCUUCUCAGAGUAGGCCUUAAGGAUGCUGCAGUCACACAGUUCCCAAGGCGCAGGAUCUUGGAGGCUGAAAAGGAAUUGACUCUACAGUGUUCUCAGAAAAUGAAUCAUUAUGCAAUGUACUGGUAUCGCCAAGAUCCGGGAUUUGGACUUCGGCUGAUCUAUUACUCAACUGGCCCUGACUCCUUUAAGAAAGGAGAUGUCCCUGAGGGGUAUCACGUCUCUCGAGAUGAGUUGGAACAUUUCCCCCUGACCCUGAAGUCUGCCAGCCCCAACCAGACAUCUGUGUACUUCUGUGCCAGCGCUGAAUCCACAGCAUGGCACGGCUGCUUCCUCUCUGCACAAAAAGAGAGGCAGACUGAGGUCCUCAAGAUUCCUGACCCCAACUAGAAGUUUUUCAAAAGC
This is a non-coding RNA of Bubalus bubalis (water buffalo), 577 nucleotides long. The record is from the annotation of a RefSeq genome assembly. NCBI's taxonomy places the organism in Eukaryota, Metazoa, Chordata, Mammalia, Artiodactyla, Bovidae.